CUACGUGCCAGCAGCCGCGGUAAUACGGAAGGUCCCGGCGUUAUCCGGAUUUAUUGGGUUUAAAGGGAGCGUAGGCCGUGGAUUAAGCGUGUUGUGAAAUGUAGACGCUCAACGUCUGACUUGCAGCGCGAACUGGUUCACUUGAGUGUGCGCAACGCAGGCGGAAUUCGUGGUGUAGCGGUGAAAUGCUUAGAUAUCACGAAGAACUCCGAUUGCGAAGGCAGCUUGCGGGAGCACAACUGACGCUGAAGCUCGAAAGUGCGGGUAUCAAACAGGAUUAGAUACCCUGGUAGUCCGCACGGUAAACGAUGGAUGCCCGUUCUUCGUUCUUUUGAAUGAGGGACCAAGCGAAAGCAUUAAGCAUCCCACCUGGGGAGUACGCCGGCAACGGUGAAACUCAAAGGAAUUGACGGGGGCCCGCACAAGCGGAGGAACAUGUGGUUUAAUUCGAUGAUACGCGAGGAACCUUACCCGGGCUUGA
RNAcentral lists this ribosomal RNA (481 nucleotides) under uncultured bacterium. RNAcentral's name for it is "bacterial SSU rRNA". It matches the Rfam family "Bacterial small subunit ribosomal RNA", at positions 501 to 984 of the family's 1533-position model. The record is from RNAcentral.